CCUACGGGAGGCAGCAGUGGGGAAUAUUGGGCAAUGGGCGCAAGCCUGACCCAGCAACGCCGCGUGAAGGAAGAAGGCUUUCGGGUUGUAAACUUCUUUUCUGAGGGACGAAGAAAGUGACGGUACCUCAGGAAUAAGCCACGGCUAACUACGUGCCAGCAGCCGCGGUAAUACGUAGGUGGCAAGCGUUAUCCGGAUUUAUUGGGUGUAAAGGGCGUGUAGGCGGGAAAGCAAGUCAGAUGUGAAAACUCAGGGCUCAACCCUGAGCAUGCAUUUGAAACUGUUUUUCUUGAGUACUGGAGAGGCAGACGGAAUUCCUAGUGUAGCGGUGAAAUGCGUAGAGAUUAGGAGGAACACCAGUGGCGAAGGCGGUCUGCUGGACAGCAACUGACGCUGAGGCGCGAAAGCGUGGGGAGCAAACAGGAUUAGAUACCCCGGUAGUC
This 443-nucleotide ribosomal RNA is filed under the name uncultured bacterium. RNAcentral's name for it is "partial 16S ribosomal RNA". It matches the Rfam family "Bacterial small subunit ribosomal RNA", at positions 338 to 795 of the family's 1533-position model. The record is from RNAcentral.